RNAcentral lists this unclassified non-coding RNA (337 nucleotides) under soil metagenome. RNAcentral describes it as "partial contains 5.8S ribosomal RNA, internal transcribed spacer 2, and large subunit ribosomal RNA". The stretch from base 1 to 120 matches the Rfam family "5.8S ribosomal RNA", at positions 35 to 154 of the family's 154-position model. The record is from RNAcentral.
GAUGAAGAACGUAGCGAAAUGCGAUAAGUAAUGUGAAUUGCAGAAUUCCGUGAAUCAUCGAAUCUUUGAACGCACAUUGCGCCCCCUGGCAUUCCGGGGGGCAUGCCUGUCCGAGCGUCAUUUCUGCCCUCAAGCACGGCUUGUGUGUUGGGUGCGGUCCCCCCGGGGACCUGCCCGAAAGGCAGCGGCGACGUCCGUCUGGUCCUCGAGCGUAUGGGGCUCUGUCACUCGCUCGGGAAGGACCUGCGGGGGUUGGUCACCACUAUAUUUUACCACGGUUGACCUCGGAUCAGGUAGGAGUUACCCGCUGAACUUAAGCAUAUCAAUAAGCGGAGGA